This 253-nucleotide ribosomal RNA is filed under the name uncultured bacterium. Its description in RNAcentral is "partial 16S ribosomal RNA". It matches the Rfam family "Bacterial small subunit ribosomal RNA", at positions 524 to 776 of the family's 1533-position model. The record is from RNAcentral.
GACGGAGGGUGCAAGCGUUGCUCGGAAUUAUUGGGCGUAAAGGGUGCGUAGGCGGCUCCUUAAGUCUGACGUGAAAGCCCAGGGCUUAGCCUUGGAAGUGCGCCAGAAACUGUGGAGCUAGAGUGCCGGAGGGGAGAGUGGAAUUCCUGGUGUAGCGGUGAAAUGCGUAGAUAUCAGGAGGAAUAUCGGUGGCGAAAGCGACUCUCUGGACGGUAACUGACGCUGAGGCACGAAAGCGUGGGUAGCAAACAGG